UGGGGGAUAUUGCACAAUGGGGGGAACCCUGAUGCAGCGACGCCGCGUGAGUGAAGAAGCGCCUCGGCGCGUAAAGCUCUGUCAGCAGGGAAGAAGAUGACGGUACCUGACCAAGAAGCCCCGGCUAACUACGUGCC
This 137-nucleotide ribosomal RNA is filed under the name uncultured bacterium. Its description in RNAcentral is "partial 16S ribosomal RNA". It matches the Rfam family "Bacterial small subunit ribosomal RNA", at positions 355 to 509 of the family's 1533-position model. The record is from RNAcentral.